RNAcentral lists this ribosomal RNA (1000 nucleotides) under Trophurus imperialis. RNAcentral's name for it is "SSU rRNA". It matches the Rfam family "Eukaryotic small subunit ribosomal RNA", at positions 36 to 1047 of the family's 1831-position model. The record is from RNAcentral. Lineage: Eukaryota; Metazoa; Nematoda; Chromadorea; Rhabditida; Telotylenchidae.
CUCAAAGAUUAAGCCAUGCAUGUAUAAGUAUAAACGAUUUGAUCGUGAGACCGCAAACGGCUCAUUAUAACAGCAAUAAUUUACUUGAUCUUGACAACCUACUUGGAUAACUGUGGUAAUUCUAGAGCUAAUACAUGCACCAAAGCUCCGACCGUGAGGAAGGAGCGCAUUUAUUAGAACAAAACCAAGCGGCUUCGGCCGUCCAAUGUUGACCCAAAAUAACUCAGCUGAUCGCAUGGUCUUGAACCGGCGACGUGUCUUUCAAGUUUCUGCCUUAUCAACUUUCGAUGGUAGCGUAUGUGACUACCAUGGUGGUGACGGGUAACGGAGGAUAAGGGUUCGACUCCGGAGAAGGGGCCUGAGAAAUGGCCACUACGUCUAAGGAUGGCAGCAGGCGCGCAAAUUACCCACUCUCAGUAUGCGGAGGAGGUAGUGACGAGAAAUAACGAGACCGUCUUCUUAAGAGGCCGGUCAUCGGAAUGGGUACAAUUUAAACCCUUUAACGAGUAUCUAUGAGAGGGCAAGCCUGGUGCCAGCAGCCGCGGUAAUUCCAGCUCUCAAAAUGCRUAGAAUUAUUGCUGCGGUUAAAAAGCUCGUAGUUGGAUCUGUGCCAGCGUCCUGGUCCACUUUCGGGUGCGCACUGGGUUUCGCCGGCUUUUCUGCAGCAUUUGGGCCAGUGUCCUUCACCGGGCACUGGUUUUGUCCAGUGCUGCAAGUUUACCUUGAACAAAUCAGAGUGCUUCAAACAGGCGUUUCGCUUGAAUGUUCGUGCAUGGAAUAAUAGAAGAGGAUUUCGGUUCUAUUUUAUUGGUUUUAUAGACUGAGAUAAUGGUUAACAGAGACAAACGGGGGCAUUUGUAUUGCUACGUGAGAGGUGAAAUUCUUGGACCGUAGCARGACAAACUACAGCGAAAGCAUUUGCCAAGAAUGUCUUCAUUAAUCAAGAACGAAAGUCAGAGGUUCGAAGGCGAUCAGAUACCGCCCUAGUUCUAACCGUAAA